This 593-nucleotide ribosomal RNA is filed under the name uncultured Ascomycota. Its description in RNAcentral is "eukaryotic LSU rRNA". The stretch from base 233 to 386 matches the Rfam family "5.8S ribosomal RNA". The record is from RNAcentral. Lineage: Eukaryota; Fungi; Ascomycota.
CUUGGUCAUUUAGAGGAAGUAAAAGUCGUAACAAGGUCUCCGUUGGUGAACCAGCGGAGGGAUCAUUACGAGAGUGUCACCACUCCCAACCCAUUGUUUACCUACCCGUCCACCGUGCUUCGGCAGGCAGUCCUGUGGGACAGGGCCUCGCCCCCGCGAGGGGGUGCCUGCCGCUGGCCAACCAAAAAUUCUAGCUGUUUUUGUACCAUCUGAGUCUUCCACAAAUAAACAAAACUUUCAACAACGGAUCUCUUGGUUCUGGCAUCGAUGAAGAACGCAGCGAAAUGCGAUAAGUAAUGUGAAUUGCAGAAUUCAGUGAAUCAUCGAAUCUUUGAACGCACAUUGCGCCCACUAGUAUUCUGGUGGGCAUGCCUGUUCGAGCGUCAUUUCAACCCUCAAGCCUGGCUUGGUGUUGGGGCUCUGCGUCUGCAGUCCCUUAAAUCCAGUGGCGGACACGCUAGGUCUCCGAGCGCAGUAGUUUCUCCUCGCUCAGGGCGUCCGGCGUGGGCUUGCCUCGCACCCAUCUUUUACAAGGUUGACCUCGGAUCAGGUAGGAAUACCCAAUGAACUUAAGCAUAUCAAUAAGCGGAGGA